This 10915-nucleotide long non-coding RNA is filed under the name Sorghum bicolor (sorghum). RNAcentral describes it as "long non-coding RNA (SBIC_LNC005330)". The record is from RNAcentral. Lineage: Eukaryota; Viridiplantae; Streptophyta; Magnoliopsida; Poales; Poaceae.
UGUUGGUUGUCCCUACCUUUGAGACAUGCUCAAUUUGUUAAAUACUAAUCACACUACUUCAUCUCCACUUGAGUAGAUCUCUAUAAAUGCUGUCAUGCUACCUUUGUCUAUUUUCUAGCAAGUGUUGGUUUGGAAGUACUCGACAUACUUCCAUUGGCAUUUAAAUUGAGCAUGGUGCUUAGGUUAAAUAGCCUUCCUUAAUCUGAUUAGACAUGGAGUCUAGUUUGGUUAUUGAACUAAAAACUGCUUGAGUAGAUAUUGGUAUAUUUUGUCGGACUAACCCCUGCAGGAAAACUUUCAAUAUCAACCUGGGAAGUCCUGAGAUAAACUCACAUUGGAGACAAGGAGAGGGACACAUGAAGUUUAACAAUUUACACAAGGAAGACAUAGGUCAUAAGAGAUGAUCCAUGGAAGGUGCCACACACACGAUACACAACCACUACGAAUGGAAAGCUUCCACAAGGUGAUACUAUACCAUCACUCUUCAAUUAAGGUAACAUCUUAAGAUAUCUGACUAUCACUUUUAUAAGCUUCUCCUUGGUUCUGACAUUGACAUAAAUAAAGAGACAAACAUGUAUGAUUUAUAACUCUAAAUUAACCAACCCAACUGAUUCAACAUGUUUAGUCCCUUAAUCUAUGAUCCCACACUCCUAAUCAUAUGAGCUAAAAUGUUACACAUUCAAUCAUUGAGAGAUAUAAAGAAAAUGACAUAUACAUAGAUAGAUUAUCUUUCCAUAAGGUUGAGCGAUCUGAUCUGACAAAUAUUAUAAGUGCUACACUCAUGAACUUUUCAUCCAUCAAAUUUGUCUUGCUCACUAUGCUUAAGGUUGGAGACGAACAAAUACACUUUAGGUUCUGUUGGUGUUUUCCACCAACAGGACCCAUGCACUUGAUCUCUGCCUUGUCUCUAUGAGCAGGUACACUUCGAGCAAAACACGGAGGAGUUUUAUAACUCUCAGACUCUACCAAGUGAAGGACCUGGAUCUACGAGCACAAACACACUGAGCAGGAUACUGCCAAUGCCGCACUUCUAACUGCUGGGCAAACGAAGAGGUGCAGACGUCAAGGUCCGCGCCUGAAUCAAAUGACGCACCUGAAAAAUGAACACGGUGAGAAGUCUUGUUAAGAAGACUUAAAACAUUGAACCCUCGCCGAAAGGUAAGAUCAGUAGUUAUCCAUAUUUAUCAUUUCUGCAUUCCCUUUUCCCUUUAAUUAUUUACUUUCCUUAAAUAGAUUAUUAGUUAAUCAUGCUAUCUUGAAAAGAAAAUAAAAAUGUUAAAAAAAUACUAAGCCCCAUGUGAGUAUAUGAGUGGCAUAAAACCCAUAAGUACCUUCACUGUGGUGGCAUAAAAAUAAAAUAAAUAUUUCUUUUCUGCUUUAUAAAAUAAAAAUAUAAAAAUAGGGAGUAAUAUUUAUUGAGGAAGCUCAAUAUGAUGAAGGCUAGAUAUUUAUGUUAACACUUAAUUAGUUCCACAAGCUUUGUUGUCUAUUUGAGCUCCACAAAAUUUAAGAAUCAAGAAGACUAGCAGACGGAGGACAUUCUAAUCGCUGUCAGAAUGCUGCUGACGUUCAAAUACACCUCUGCCACCUGCUAGCUACAUCAAGAGAAAUUACGUCAAAAUUCAGCUUGGGGGAGAGCACCCCCAUUUAUCUCGCUAAAUAUUUCUACCUAUCUUUAUAAUUAUAUUAUGUUAGAAUAUUAAAAUACAUAAGCUAUGAAAAACCAAAUAAAGAUUUUGUGCUUAUAUAUAUCUUUUGCUUAGUGUGUUUAAUAAAUAAAUAAAGUGGCUAUGCUAAUCUGAAUCUUAAUAAUAAAACUCUAGCAUGGAUAUGAUGAAUAGUUGCUCUGCCUAAUUUGCACAUUUGAAGUUCUCUCUCAAGUUUAGACAUAACUGUUAUAAUUUAAAGCUUGCUCUAGAUCUAAACUUGUGGGAUGAAAACUUGAUCUGAAAUCUAAGUUGUUAACAGAUAUGAUAUGGGAAGGUUGAGCUGCUGUUUAUCUGUUCCUAGAGAUGCUAGAAUUCUGGAGAAUUUUAUCUUUGAAAAAUCUUUAAAAUAUUGCAUGAUGAGUUCCUGUAUGAUGAGAGUUUAAAUUCCUACCACAGCCAUAUAUACAUGCUUGCUAGACUUUGAGCCACACAUUUAUUAUUUACUGCUUAUGAGCAUUGAGUGUGGUUAAGCUUUGUAGACCCUUAGGAGCUUGUCAUGUGGUUAAAUCAAGAUUCACUUGCACGUUCACUCAUAUAUGCUACUUCUACUCUGGAAGUACCAUCCACAUAUAUCCAUCCAUGUCCAUCUCCAGAACCACCCAAAAAUAUUCUACUCCUAAUCCGUUCUGUUUUCCCUUGUGAAAUAAAUGCUCAAGUUAUCUUGCUACUACCACUUGCUAUAUUAUCUCAAGAGAUGAGUGCUCUAAAAAAAAGAAGAAAAUAGAAGAAAAGAAAAGAAAAAUAAUAAUAAUAAACGAGGAAAUAAAAAGGGGCAAGUGCCCGGAACCUCGAAAGAAAGAAAAAGUGAGACGAGAGGUAAAAAUGGACAAGUGUCCGACAGUAGAAUUAGGGGUACAAGAUACCCACCUGAGAGGAAAGAAAAAGAAGAGCAUCUCAUUCUCCUCAUAAAGUUUCAAAAAGCAAGGAAGGUAUGUAUCCCCUCAAAAGAGCAAAAGUAGAAUUAGACUUUCACCAUUGUUAUCACCAUCAUCACCAUACACCAUUCAUUCGCCACACAUGCACAUCUUGAUUUGGCUUAUUAAUUUGUUUCUUUGGCAUGGUUUGACUAUACAAUAAAUGUCUUGUAAGUAUGUAUACUUUAUCUCCCACCUAUGAGCUCCAGAUAUUAAAGCCUUAUUAGAGUAGGGUGAGAGAGAAGGCAAUGUCACUAUGCCUUAUACCACAAAUACCACAUAUCUUGAGAGAAGGCAUAUACCAUCACUGCCUUGGUAAGGAUCCAGAAAUACCACAAAAGAGAGAUUUAGAGAGUCAUACAAGGAAUCUCUGAGUUUUAUUUGAAAAUCUGCAAAAACUCCAGAGCUAUAGCUGAUCAAGAAUAAGAGACAUGACACUUGGCUAGACUGUUCUAUCUUUUAACUACUCAAGACAGAAGUGACGGUUGCAAGUCCCAUGGUGAAAGGUAAAGUAAGUAAGUUUUAGUUCUUGACAGUUUACUCUAACUCAGAGAUGAGAUCUUAUUUAAAAGCAUGUGUACCGUCAAAUUUUUAAGAUAUUGCAACAACUUCUGAUCCAUUGCUGAGUCUAUCCUUGCUUAGGGACGAGCAAGAGGUAAGCUUGGGGGAGUUUGUUGACGGUCCUUAAGUAUCAAAUUUAAUUAUCAAAUAAACAAAGAAAAGGAUCAAAAUGAAAUCAACAUCUAGACUUAGGGUUUUAUCUGACAGAAUUCCACGAGUUUUGGUGUUUGUCUAUUUCUGCAGGGGGUUAUCAGGAAAUAUGAAAGAAAGGCCCACACGUCGGGUUUACAUAGAGAUAUUAACAUGCCGCGCAAUUUUCUACCAUCUAGAAGACUCCAGAAGCCACGGGAACGAACGGGAGGCCGAUCGGGCCCGGGGGCAGGGCGCCCGCCCAAGUCCCUUGGGUGCCCGCCCAGCUACAGUAACCAAUCAGCUUCAACUUCGCGGAUCAUGCUCCACCGACCUAAUACUUCAAGGAAAACCACACGAUCAAUGUCGGUUUGAUCCGACGGCCCAGAUUCUUCUGAAAAGACUAUAUAACUAGACCCCCUGGCCCCUGGAGGAGGCACCCCUUGAUAAUUAUUCAUUAUUCAUAGACAGAGCAAAAGCUAGGGUUUAGAGAUGAGAGCUCUCCUCUCUUCUCUAAACUAGAGUAGAUCUAGAUAGUAGCUAGAUGGAGAGCGAAGGAGGAUUAGAGGAGAGGCCGGUCUGUCGGUUCUUCCUCCGGUUGUACUUCGUCAUGAUCAAGCUCUAAUCAAGCUUGCUCAUGGGAUGACUCUGGUAAUCUACUUCUAAUUCAUUAUGCAAUUACUAAUUAUGUAUGUUCUUGUUCACAACUCUUUUGAGUACUUUAAUCUAUAGGACGCUAUAGGUGAGAGUUGUAGUAUAGGUGUAAGCGAGGUGCUUAGAUCUAGAUUAAUUGUGGAUAUCCCCUGUCUAGCUGGAUCGUGUGGUAGGCCGCGUAGGUGACAGUUACGUUGGUCCUCUGUAGUCCACCUCUCGUUAGCAGGACGGGUAGGGUUUAUCGGCCUAUGGAUAAGCAUCCUUUGUGGUGUAAUCUUAUCACGUGGUUCGUCCCAGACAUAGACAUACCCCUUUGAAGUAGAGAAACCAUAGUUAUUCUCUCUAUUCUGCUACCAUCGCCCAUAUACUAGAAUUGCUCUACUCUCUAUUCACAUAUUAUCACGCACUGUUAUCUUACCUUUAAUAUUGUUCUUAUUUGAUUCUACCAUCUUUCCUAUUUACACUUAUUUACUUAUCUUGGUUAAGUUAGAGCGUAGAUCAGUUCUCCCGUUUCCCUGUGGAUACGAUAAAACCUUUAACCGGGUAAAAGCUUCAACGGUAUCCGUGCGCUUGCGGAUUAUCUGUGUGCGUAUAAAUACCAUAGUACACUCUAGUGCCAUGCUGGGGAUGACAACCUAGUAUUCAAGUGGUGUUAGCAAGUGUCAACAAGGAUUUUUGGCGCCGUUGCCGGGGAAACGGUUGCUGAGUUGACUACGAACUAGCUUAAUCAUUUUCUAAAAAAAAUAUAAAUAAAAAAAAUAUAUAUAUUUCCUUUUAUCCUUUGCCUCAUCUCUGCUAAUCUUUCUUCUUCUCUAAUCCUUGAUCUGUGGUCUAUCAUGAAUUCAAACAUGUCUAUCUAUGAAUUUCAUAGACCUACGGGCACACAUCUCGAACCACCAAAAUCUUCAAAGCCUAUCAUAGCAUCUAGUUUUGAGAUAGACCCCGAAUACAUAGAACUUGUUCAAAAACAACCUUUCUCAGGAGAAGGUGAGGAAAACCCAUACACACAACUAAGAGAGUUUUAUAGAGUCUGUGACCUCCUUCGCAUAAAAGGCAUGUCCGAUGAGACCCUUAAAUGGAAGCUUUUUCCGUUCUCUUUAAUGGGAAAAGCUAGACAUUGGUAUAAACUCAAAGUAGGGAGUGUUCAUGGAGAUUGGAAGGAGUUACAUAGUAGUUUUCUUUCUAAAUAUUUUCCAAUCUCCAAAGUGGUGGAACUUCGGCGUGAGAUUAUUUCUUUUAGACAAUUGGAAGAAGAAUCUCUUAGGAAAUCAUGGGACCGCUUUAUUAACCUUACUCUCACUGGCCCAAAGCUUUCUAUUCCAGAAGAAGUUCUUCUAAUUCACUUUUUUGAGGGCCUUAGUGGGGAAAAUAAGCAAACCUUGAAUACAGCCUCUAGAGGAUCCUUCUAUCACCUACCUGCUAGUGAAGCUUGGAAUUUGAUUGAUUUAUUAAGCGGAAAGUCUCCUAGCUUUAAUAUCCCUGAGAAAGAGACAGAACCAGUUCCUAGACAAGAAGAAGAAGUUUCGAGAGCCAGAUCAUAACCACUUCAAUUCCAAACUUUAGCUAUCAUUCCUAAACCAUCAAUACCCCAAAAUUCUCCAAGGGAGGAAGGAAUUCUGACCUUAAAUCUUUCAGAUGCUGAUGGUUUAGACUUCUGGUUCCAUAAGAGACCUUCAAGCAGGGAUAAUUCAAAUCCUCGCAAUAAUGGUUCUCUUAGAGAAUGUCCUGGUUCCUGUUAUGAAGAAGUCGAGGAUGACAUAUCAAGUGAAGGAGAGCUAAGCCAUAUUGAAAAUUCUAACACCUCCCCUUUCAUGAUCACAAGUUCUAAAUGGCUAGAAUGUGUAGAAUGGAUGCAUAAGGAAGAAGCCUUAAUGGAUUCUGACUUGGGCUCAAUUUCAAAUGGUGAGUUCUUGACUCCCUUUGAAGAUGGGAUUCAUCAAACUAUAGAAGAGGACAUAAGUGAGACGAAUCCAAGAGGAACUCUGAACAUUCAGAUUAGAGACGAAGAUAACAUUAAUGAGCAUGGAAUUUAUUUCAUAGCCACUUUGUUUACUCCAUGCUCAUAUGCAACAUCUUCCCAAUCUAUUGGUCUCUCCAACAUCACCACAUUUGAGAUCUCCAACCCCCUCUUCCUUUCUAUUUAUAAAAACUUUAAAAGGGCGGUUGUCGAUGUAUAUGUCUAUAAUAAAUAUUGCAGAUCUCGUUGAGUUAAUCUUGAUUUAGGUCAGCGUUGGAAGGGAAACCACUUCGCCGACAUAAAUUGAUGGUUUCCCAAGGACAAGCUUGGUGUCCUAAAAUAAGCACUGAUGAGAUCGUAACAUGAGUUUUUAAUUAUUUGCAACAUUACCUUGUGUAUUGAGCAUAUAAGGAUAAUUGUAAAAAUAUUCCUUUGGGUAUUCUUGUCACUAACCUUUCUAGGAUUGGAGCAAGAAGAUCGGAUGAAUGACAAGCACAAGGUAUGUCCAACCGAUCAUCAUACAACAUUGAAUUAAAUUCAUCCAAACUUGAAUUUUGCAAAAUUCAAGCUUGGGGGAGUACUUUACAUAAAAACAUCCUUUGCUAUGUUGCUAUGUUGGUUGUCCCUACCUUUGAGACAUGCUCAAUUUGUUAAAUACUAAUCACACUACUUCAUCUCCACUUGAGUAGAUCUCUAUAAAUGCUGUCAUGCUACCUUUGUCUAUUUUCUAGCAAGUGUUGGUUUGGAAGUACUCGACAUACUUCCAUUGGCAUUUAAAUUGAGCAUGGUGCUUAGGUUAAAUAGCCUUCCUUAAUCUGAUUAGACAUGGAGUCUAGUUUGGUUAUUGAACUAAAAACUGCUUGAGUAGAUAUUGGUAUAUUUUGUCGGACUAACCCCUGCAGGAAAACUUUCAAUAUCAACCUGGGAAGUCCUGAGAUAAACUCACAUUGGAGACAAGGAGAGGGACACAUGAAGUUUAACAAUUUACACAAGGAAGACAUAGGUCAUAAGAGAUGAUCCAUGGAAGGUGCCACACACACGAUACACAACCACUACGAAUGGAAAGCUUCCACAAGGUGAUACUAUACCAUCACUCUUCAAUUAAGGUAACAUCUUAAGAUAUCUGACUAUCACUUUUAUAAGCUUCUCCUUGGUUCUGACAUUGACAUAAAUAAAGAGACAAACAUGUAUGAUUUAUAACUCUAAAUUAACCAACCCAACUGAUUCAGCAUGUUUAGUCCCUUAAUCUAUGAUCCCACACUCCUAAUCAUAUGAGCUAAAAUGUUACACAUUCAAUCAUUGAGAGAUAUAAAGAAAAUGACAUAUACAUAGAUAGAUUAUCUUUCCAUAAGGUUGAGCGAUCUGAUCUGACAAAUAUUAUAAGUGCUACACUCAUGAACUUUUCAUCCAUCAAAUUUGUCUUGCUCACUAUGCUUAAGGUUGGAGACGAACAAAUACACUUUAGGUUCUGUUGGUGUUUUCCACCAACAGGACCCAUGCACUUGAUCUCUGCCUUGUCUCUAUGAGCAGGUACACUUCGAGCAAAACACGGAGGAGUUUUAUAACUCUCAGACUCUACCAAGUGAAGGACCUGGAUCUACGAGCACAAACACACUGAGCAGGAUACUGCCAAUGCCGCACUUCUAACUGCUGGGCAAACGAAGAGGUGCAGACGUCAAGGUCCGCGCCUGAAUCAAAUGACGCACCUGAAAAAUGAACACGGUGAGAAGUCUUGUUAAGAAGACUUAAAACAUUGAACCCUCGCCGAAAGGUAAGAUCAGUAGUUAUCCAUAUUUAUCAUUUCUGCAUUCCCUUUUCCCUUUAAUUAUUUACUUUCCUUAAAUAGAUUAUUAGUUAAUCAUGCUAUCUUGAAAAGAAAAUAAAAAUGUUAAAAAAAUACUAAGCCCCAUGUGAGUAUAUGAGUGGCAUAAAACCCAUAAGUACCUUCACUGUGGUGGCAUAAAAAUAAAAUAAAUAUUUCUUUUCUGCUUUAUAAAAUAAAAAUAUAAAAAUAGGGAGUAAUAUUUAUUGAGGAAGCUCAAUAUGAUGAAGGCUAGAUAUUUAUGUUAACACUUAAUUAGUUCCACAAGCUUUGUUGUCUAUUUGAGCUCCACAAAAUUUAAGAAUCAAGAAGACUAGCAGACGGAGGACAUUCUAAUCGCUGUCAGAAUGCUGCUGACGUUCAAAUACACCUCUGCCACCUGCUAGCUACAUCAAGAGAAAUUACGUCAAAAUUCAGCUUGGGGGAGAGCACCCCCAUUUAUCUCGCUAAAUAUUUCUACCUAUCUUUAUAAUUAUAUUAUGUUAGAAUAUUAAAAUACAUAAGCUAUGAAAAACCAAAUAAAGAUUUUGUGCUUAUAUAUAUCUUUUGCUUAGUGUGUUUAAUAAAUAAAUAAAGUGGCUAUGCUAAUCUGAAUCUUAAUAAUAAAACUCUAGCAUGGAUAUGAUGAAUAGUUGCUCUGCCUAAUUUGCACAUUUGAAGUUCUCUCUCAAGUUUAGACAUAACUGUUAUAAUUUAAAGCUUGCUCUAGAUCUAAACUUGUGGGAUGAAAACUUGAUCUGAAAUCUAAGUUGUUAACAGAUAUGAUAUGGGAAGGUUGAGCUGCUGUUUAUCUGUUCCUAGAGAUGCUAGAAUUCUGGAGAAUUUUAUCUUUGAAAAAUCUUUAAAAUAUUGCAUGAUGAGUUCCUGUAUGAUGAGAGUUUAAAUUCCUACCACAGCCAUAUAUACAUGCUUGCUAGACUUUGAGCCACACAUUUAUUAUUUACUGCUUAUGAGCAUUGAGUGUGGUUAAGCUUUGUAGACCCUUAGGAGCUUGUCAUGUGGUUAAAUCAAGAUUCACUUGCACGUUCACUCAUAUAUGCUACUUCUACUCUGGAAGUACCAUCCACAUAUAUCCAUCCAUGUCCAUCUCCAGAACCACCCAAAAAUAUUCUACUCCUAAUCCGGGAGAGAAUAGCCAAAAAUAUUUCUGUUUUCCCUUGUGAAAUAAAUGCUCAAGUUAUCUUGCUACUACCACUUGCUAUAUUAUCUCAAGAGAUGAGUGCUCUAAAAAAAAAGAAGAAAAUAGAAGAAAAGAAAAGAAAAAUAAUAAUAAUAAACGAGGAAAUAAAAAGGGGCAAGUGCCCGGAACCUCGAAAGAAAGAAAAAGUGAGACGAGAGGUAAAAAUGGACAAGUGUCCGACAGUAGAAUUAGGGGUACAAGAUACCCACCUGAGAGGAAAGAAAAAGAAGAGCAUCUCAUUCUCCUCAUAAAGUUUCAAAAAGCAAGGAAGGUAUGUAUCCCCUCAAAAGAGCAAAAGUAGAAUUAGACUUUCACCAUUGUUAUCACCAUCAUCACCAUACACCAUUCAUUCGCCACACAUGCACAUCUUGAUUUGGCUUAUUAAUUUGUUUCUUUGGCAUGGUUUGACUAUACAAUAAAUGUCUUGUAAGUAUGUAUACUUUAUCUCCCACCUAUGAGCUCCAGAUAUUAAAGCCUUAUUAGAGUAGGGUGAGAGAGAAGGCAAUGUCACUAUGCCUUAUACCACAAAUACCACAUAUCUUGAGAGAAGGCAUAUACCAUCACUGCCUUGGUAAGGAUCCAGAAAUACCACAAAAGAGAGAUUUAGAGAGUCAUACAAGGAAUCUCUGAGUUUUAUUUGAAAAUCUGCAAAAACUCCAGAGCUAUAGCUGAUCAAGAAUAAGAGACAUGACACUUGGCUAGACUGUUCUAUCUUUUAACUACUCAAGACAGAAGUGACGGUUCCAAGUCCCAUGGUGAAAGGUAAAGUAAGUAAGUUUUAGUUCUUGACAGUUUACUCUAACUCAGAGAUGAGAUCUUAUUUAAAAGCAUGUGUACCGUCAAAUUUUUAAGAUAUUGCAACAACUUCUGAUCCAUUGCUGAGUCUAUCCUUGCUUAGGGACGAGCAAGAGGUAAGCUUGGGGGAGUUUGUUGACGGUCCUUAAGUAUCAAAUUUAAUUAUCAAAUAAACAAAGAAAAGGAUCAAAAUGAAAUCAACAUCUAGACUUAGGGUUUUAUCUGACAGAAUUCCACGAGUUUUGGUGUUUGUCUAUUUCUGCAGGGGGUUAUCAGGAAAUAUGAAAGAAAGGCCCACACGUCGGGUUUACAUAGAGAUAUUAACGUGCCGCGCAAUUUUCUACCAUCUAGAAGACUCCAGAAGCCACGGGAACGAACGGGAGGCCGAUUGGGCCCGGGGGCAGGGCGCUCGCCCAAGUCCCUUGGGUGCCCGCCCAGCUACAGUAACCAAUCAGCUUCAAGUUCGCGGAUCAUGCUCCACUGACCUAAUACUUCAAGGAAAACCACACGAUCAAUGUCGGUUUGACCCGAUGGCCCAGAUUCUUCUGAAAAGACUAUAUAACUAGACCCCCUGGCCCCUGGAGGAGGCACCCCUUGAUAAUUAUUCAUUAUUCAUAGACAGAGCAAAAGCUAGGGUUUAGAGAUGAGAGCUCUCCUCUCUUCUCUAAAAUAGACUAGAUCUAGAUAGUAGCUAGAUGGAGAGCGAAGGAGGAUUAGAGGAGAGGCCGGUCUGUCGGUUCUUCCUCCGGUUGUACUUCGUCAUGAUCAAGCUCUAAUCAAGCUUGCUCAUGGGAUGACUCUGGUAAUCUACUUCUAAUUCAUUAUGCAAUUACUAAUUAUGUAUGUUCUUGUUCACAACUCUUUUGAGUACUUUAAUCUAUAGGACGCUAUAGGUGAGAGUUGUAGUAUAGGUGUAAGCGAGGUGCUUAGAUCUAGAUUAAUUGUGGAUAUCCCCUGUCUAGCUGGAUCGUGUGGUAGGCCGCGUAGGUGACAGUUACGUUGGUCCUCUGUAGUCCACCUCUCGUUAGCAGGACGGGUAGGGUUUAUCGGCCUAUGGAUAAGCAUCCUUUGUGGUGUAAUCUUAUCACGUGGUUCGUCCCAGACAUAGACAUACCCCUUUGAAGUAGAGAAACCAUAGUUAUUCUCUCUAUUCUGCUACCAUCGCCCAUAUACUAGAAUUGCUCUACUCUCUAU